UUACUCUCAUUAUUAAUACUUCCUUUUGUACAGAAAGUAAGAGAGAGACUCGAGGGUAUUUGUUUAUCCCCGGCUGUCUGAGAAUUUUCGAUUACCCUGACACAGGUGGCUCUGCUCACUGCAUUCAAUCAGCAUGCCAGUAAACCCUCAGAGUGUGUUGCUGCUAAGUCAUGUUAGUCUCCAAGUCCUCUGCAUGUCACUGCAGAUCUGCUGCAGCAGAUCGAGGAACUUACAGAAAUGAAUUCUCCUGAGAUCCAGUCAACAUCCCCUCAGAAUAUGGAGUUAAAUUUUGUCACAACUCCAAAUAUCUCUCAGAGAAAUGACAACUCACAGAAGGAAGUGCACAUGAGUCAUAAACCCACAGCCCCAGAAUACUAAGCAGCUCUGUUUUUCACCUGACAGCUGGGGUGAGCAGAAGCACUCUCUGUUCUCCCUCUCUCUCUCUCUUUUUUCUUAACUAAAAACAACUUAAGGGAAAAAGAAGAAGAAGAAAAAAGCAUCCUUUUGGAGCUUGGUGAAGUCCACAGACUUGUUGUGAGAAGGCCUGGAAGAUUUGCCGGACCUGAGGCAACAUGUCAACAACUGAGAGUGGUGAACUCUGUAAUGUGCCUUUGCUGUAUGACUUAAGAUUAUUCAGUUCUGCUCAAGAAAGAAAGUGAAACAAAGAAAGAGGAUAAAUGAAACUGGGUGGAGAUGCAAGUAGCUUGUGAGACAUAGGCAGAAUUUAUAUGAUGAGCAUGGUAAAACUAAGUGGAUUAGUAACCCCUGAGUCAUAGUGGCCAUCAACAAAGUAGAGAAUGUGCAUGCUGAACACAGAUAGGAGGGAGGAAUGGAAAGAGGUGAUAUUGACAACAUAUCCAUAUGCAUACGACAUCAAACAUUUGAAAUAUACUAAAUAUAAAUACAUAAAAUAUGAGAACUUAAGUCUUCAGUCAGCCACCCAUUGGUGACCCCCAUUCUAGCCACAGAAAUCCUCUGUGCAAGGAAUGCAAAUAGUCCUUAGCUGUUCAUCAGGCCAAAUGAUGAGCUACAGGUCAUGGCCAGGUGGGCUUGUCCCUGUGUCUUUCCAAGUAUACUACUGACCCGGGCAUCUUUUCCUUGCUGAGCCCCUUGCUGAAACCUCAGAUUUGACCUAUAUAAUCACACCACGGAGAAGGUCAAUGUGGUAGAUAGAGAGAACAGGUCACAUGAGCACUGUGUGUCCCAAGAUUUAAGUAGCUGGGUUCUUUCUCCUGCGUGAAUUCUAGUGUAAUUAUUUUAACUGUCCCUAUCUCUUCCCCUCUUUCUUCUCAUAAUGUGUUUUAAUUGAUUUGAUAAACCAUGUGACUCAUGCAUCUUAAUUUGUUGUGUUAGCCUUCUUCUUUGAGACCUCUAGGAUAACCUGGUAGUAGACCUGGAGACUACAAUUGCAUCAAGGUAAUUUCCUGCAUAAAAAAAUUACAGCAGUACUAUACAAACAGUAAUAAUAACAAAAAUGGUAGCUCUAAAUUUCGAGUAGUUACUAGGCAACAUCCUAAGCAUUUUGUGUAUAUUAUCUCAAAUAAUCCUCACAAUAACCCUAUAGAGCAGAUAUUAUUACCUACGUUCUACAGAUAAGAAAACCAGGGACAAGAGAAGUUCAAUAACUUGCCUAAGAUCAAUUGGCUCGUAACAGAAAGAGGAUUUGAAUUGAGGUCUGACUCUUAAUGCCAUACCUUUGCUAUUUUGGAGGAGUCCAAGCUAUUUUCCAAACCCCCUCCCCACUGCCCACCAUUUCCUCCUAUUAGGUCAUCCUAACUAAAAUCUACCCCCAUAACUUCCUAGCCCCCUCCCAUGAUUAGUUUGUUUCUCCAUUCUAUUAUCACCAUCUAAUGUAACUUUCUUACUAACUUUUUGUCUGUCUCCCCAACAAGAAUGUGAUUUUUCUAAGGAUAGGAUUUUUGUUUAUUAACUUCUGCUUCUCCAAGUGCCCAAAACAGUGCUUAAAUAGUAAGUAUUCAGUGAAUAUCAACUGAAUGAAUGAGUUAAUCCUAUUAUUGAGUUGUUUUUUUUUUCUAGAGACAUCUUUGAAAAUAAAGUCACAGGCACAAGAUCACCUUUCAGGCUGAAUAGAUUAACCCUGGAAAAUUUAUGAUUAAAUCAGCUUAAAGGGCAUAAAGAGUUUCAGAGCAAAAUUUUAGGAGGAAAAAAAGGGCUAUAAGAAAAUUACACUGCCAACUCCAUGGCUUGAAUCUUACAUGACUUCAUCACAGAUCCUGUGCAGCCCUGCAGCUUGGCUAUCUCCAUUAGAUUUUCAUCAUAUUAUAAUUUCAGGGCCUUGGACUUCUCCCAUGAUUACCUCUGAGAAGAGAUCCAGAGAAAGGAGAGUUUUACAUGCCUUACCUAGGGCAUUCUAGAAAUGGAGCUUACGUUUGUUUGCCCCAGCUGUGAGUGAGGUGCUGUAACCACAUUGUUAACUCAUUCAGAUGGUGCUUUAUGUUUCCUCUGUUUUCAGGUGAGGAAAGUGAGCCUCUGUGAGGAUAGUAGCUUUUCCCAAGUGUACAGUCUGAUAGGUAGCAAAGCCAGAAUUUGAAGUUGUGUCUGUCUAAUGCCCUAGUCCACUCUGCAGAAAUAUUGUUCCAAUGAGGAGGUCCACUAUGAACAGAAACAUGAGAUUUUCUAAACAGACGAACUUGAGAUGGAAAGAACCUGAAGUGAACCCUACUGUCCCCCAUUGUCAUUUCUUAGGACGGAUGAAAUAAAUUUGUCUUUUUAUGACACAAUUUUUUUGGUCUGUACAGGACAAAACAUCAGCUAAAUAGGCCUAAAGUAUCAGGAAAAUUUUUGGUGAAUUUGCAGUUAAAAUGGAAACAAAACUGCUUUUUAAAAUUGAAACACUUUUUUUUUUUUUUUUUUGCAACAAGCUUGGCUGGGUUUGGCUCAUCUUCUUGGAUAUGAAAAUCAUUUUCUCCAAAUUAAUUUCUUGAAAACUCAACUGUCCCGGGCUUUCAAACCAGGGGGUUAAAUUGAUCUGAUGUACACCAGAGGCCUUGGGAACGUCCUGGCCAGGGUAAUAAAUGAAAUGCAUUAAAUAAUCUUAAUUGAUACAGUAAUACUCAGGGGGCAGCUGUAUUGCCAAAUUGUCCCUUUAUUCAUUUCUGCUCAUUUAGAUAUCAAUCAGAUUUCUAAAGAGAGAUGCAGUGCAUCUGGAUGCUACUGUGAUUGUAGAUGAGAAACAGCAUGUAAGUGUCCUGGGGCUGUUUGGCAGCAACCUGUCAACAUCUCCUUGAAAUAUGUUGAACCAGGUACUAGAAUGUUUAUAGAGGUUAGGAAACCAAGAUGGGUUUUCAAGUAGAGGAAAAUGAAGUUGGAGCUAUUUAACUUUGGAGCUUUAUUCAUUCAAUCACUCAAACACUUGCUCAGUCAUUCAUCCAGCUAGUCAAUAAAUAUUUAUUGAGCACCUACUAUGUGUCUGCGGCUCUGUCAGACUGGGAAUAUGGUUUAUAAGCCUGCGUGGUCAAGUACAGUAGCUACUAGCCACAUGUGGCUAUUGAGCACUUGAAAUGUGGCUGAUCCUAAUUAAAAUUGUCUACUGAGCAGCUGAAAUGUGUUGCUCCAAAUUAGGGUGUACACAACUGAUUUCAAAGACUUAGUAGGGAAAAAAAAGAAUGUAAUAUAUGCCAUUAGUAACUUUUGGAUACUAAUGGAUCAUGCUGAAGUGGUAAGUUUUGAUAUAUCACAUUAAAUAAAAUAUAAUAACUAACCUCACCUGUUUCUUUUUACUUUUUUUUUUUUACUUUAAGUUCAGAAAUACAUGUGCAGGACGUGCAAGUUUGUUACAUAGGUAUACAUGUGCCAUGGUGGUUGGCUGCACCCAUCAACCCGUCAUCUAGGCUUUAUACCCUGCAUGAAUUAGGUAUUUAUCCUAAUGCUCUCUCUCCCCUUGCCCCCCACCCCACAACGGGCCCCGAUAUGUGUUGUUCCUCUCUCUUUUUACUUUUUUAAUGAUGUAGCUAAUAGAAAAUUUAAAUUAUAUAUAUGUGGCUUGCAUUAUAUUUCUAUUGGACAGCUCCCUGAUAAUAUUUGCAGAAGAUUUCUUCCUUCUAUAUCAUGUUUUUUCGAAUGGCUUGAAGGUAACUUUCAGGGAAGAUAAUAAAAGAUAGAGGCAGAAGGCCUGAUCUACUGUGGUUAAAUGAUGUUUCUAGGUUUUAGGUGGUUAAUUUUGGUUUUGAAAACUUUUUACUUUGGAAGUUAAAUAUCUAGGUCCAGUAUUUUGGAACUGUCAAAAUGUAGAAAAUUUGGGAUACUGCAAUGUUUUUUGCUUUCUGGCAUUUUCUAAGUUGUCAUUGGAUAUCCUGAAUCCCUGAAUAUCCAUAGAUGCCUGCUUUCACAUGACAACACUAAAAAAGAUGGCUUAGAAAGAAGUAAAUACUUAUGGAAUGGGUUAUUUGACAAGAUGAUACUAUGGGAAUAAGUGAAGCUAACUUUGGUCUUGCUUCUCUUAUUUGAAAUUGAGACAUCUGGGCUGCUUUAUGUCUGUGCUGAUCUGCUGGCAGGAAAAAAUUAAUAACUGGAACCGUUAUCAGCAUGGAAAUAAUAUUUAAUGACUCAGGAAUUCUGUAAGAAUAAUCAGUCUUGGCAACAAGCUCUAUAUGAAAAGUAAGGACUCAAA
Molecule: long non-coding RNA, 4630 nt
Filed under: Homo sapiens (human)
Lineage: Eukaryota; Metazoa; Chordata; Mammalia; Primates; Hominidae
Description: HSALNT0062748
Source: RNAcentral